Flavobacterium fluvii is the source of this 69-nucleotide regulatory RNA element. It matches the Rfam family "DUF805 RNA". The record is from Rfam. Lineage: Bacteria; Pseudomonadati; Bacteroidota; Flavobacteriia; Flavobacteriales; Flavobacteriaceae.
AUAAAGUGGAAACUAGUAACCACUAUAAAAAACAGGGUAGAACUGAAAAACCAUAAGAGUAGGCAAAAU